UACGGAGGGUGCGAGCGUUACCCGGAUUUACUGGGUGUAAAGGGCGUGUAGGCGGCCUUUCAAGUCCGAUGCUAAAGACCGAAGCUCAACUUCGGGGGUGCGGUGGAUACUGUGAGGCUAGACGGUCGGAGAGGGUAGCGGACUUUCCGGAGUAGCGGUGGAAUGCGCAGAUACCGGAAGGAACGUCGAGAGCGAAAGCAGCUACCUGGACGCUUUGUGACGCUGAGGCGCGAAAGCGUGGGGACCAACCCGG
RNAcentral lists this ribosomal RNA (253 nucleotides) under uncultured bacterium. RNAcentral describes it as "partial 16S ribosomal RNA". It matches the Rfam family "Bacterial small subunit ribosomal RNA", at positions 524 to 776 of the family's 1533-position model. The record is from RNAcentral.